AGAUUUUUAUAUGGAGACAAGUUGAGUGUUGGGAGGAGUUCUCUAAUUGGCUACCAGAUAUAAUGGCAAUGGGGGAUUUUGAGAAUUACUUUUCGGUUGCAACACGAGAGUAUGCUCCAUUAGUUAAUGAGGUUUGGAAGAAUCCGACUAUUUAGAAAACUUACAAGCGAAGAAAUGAGCUGGAUUUUCUUCCGAAUGUUGCCAAAUGUCGAUAUUUCCAACAACCCACUACUCAAAAGUUAGAAGAUCUCAAGUAUGACUAAUACAUCUUACUCUUUAUAAUUUUAUGAUUUUAUACUCAAAAAAUUAUUUAUGAAUUUAUGAUUUUGUAUAUUUCUUAUAAGAACUUAUCUACAUUAAGCAAGUUGGAUAACCCUAAGGAUCCAACAAAUUGUUUUGAUCAGUUUCUUGAGGAAUGAAGAUGGUGAAACAUAUAGAAGAAGAAUAGCGAACAUAAUAGGACUGACGAAGGGUAGCAUAUUCAAAGAAAGUUAGAAAAGAGAAAACAAAGGAUACUAAAAAGAAGACAUGAACCAUUUCAAAUGUCUAACAAGAAAAGUUUCCAUAUUGUUUGCUAAUGGAUGGGCUACCAAAAGAUGGAAAAAUAGAGGAAGCUGAUUCUUAAGUACAUUUAUUACCCACAAUUCAAGAAGAGCCCGCAAGCUUAUGAUUUUUGGGUUUGAAGGAUCUGGGACAAGUACUAUUUUCAAGAAGAUAUCAUUAUCAUUCAAGCUAAUUUUUAACGUGUCAGGUUCAGAUUUGGAAUUGAAUUCCGAUUCCAAUUCCGAUGACCAUAAUCCUCAUACAAAAUCUAUAGCUAUAGAUGAAGCAAAUGCGAGAAUGCAAGAAGAGGGGCAAGAGGACGUACAAGUUAACAUCAAAUAAAAGCCUGGCGAGUUUCGAUUACGAAAUUCCAACACAUGAGAUUAUCAUUUGUGGUUAAAUGACAUCUUAUGUUGCAAUUACUUGGGUAGUGUUUGGUGUAUGAUAGAAUCAGAGGAAGGAGUAGAAUGAUUCAUUCCAUUGGAAUGAAAAAGAAAUUGUUUGUUUUCGUUUAAUAUUGUUAUAUUUUAGACAAGUAAUCAAAUUUAAAUUUUAUUG
This is a non-coding RNA of Lactuca sativa (garden lettuce), 1101 nucleotides long. The record is from RefSeq and is a predicted model, not a curated record. NCBI's taxonomy places the organism in Eukaryota, Viridiplantae, Streptophyta, Magnoliopsida, Asterales, Asteraceae.